GGAGGAGGAGGGGAAGAGAGAGAGAGAGAGAUUGUACCUUGAGAGGAACCCAUAGAAGAAAGCUCCCACACCACUGAGCCUUCUUCAGUAGAAUGAAAAUAUGCAAGAGAAAAAUCUCAUGAACCAGUCUCUCUCUACACCUGAUAAAAAUAGUACCACGCUCUCUCUCACUCUCUCUGCACUCCUCCCUGACAUCACUCAAACCUAAAACGCUUCCCCCAAUACUUGAUAAACAGAUCAUGAGAGUGGUUUAUACAGUUCUCCAUCACCACCAAGGUGAGAUUUGAAGCCAUGAAGCAAAGCAGAAGAGUUUAUAGAAGGUCCCAAACAAUGAGUUGCAGAUAUUCAAACCAGGAAAUAGCAUUAGGGUUUUGAGCACCGAGAGACGAGCGAGAGCAGAGAGAGGCAGGAAGAGAGAUUAACACAGAGGAGGAGAGAGAGGGAUGGAGGUUUAGAAAACCCAAAAUAUUAAGAUGGGAGAGACAGGAGAGAGAGAUGCAUGUGUCAUGGCGCCGACGGGAAGUACGGAUGAGAGAAAGUUUUACUUAAAAAAAAAUUUUAAAAAAGGGAGGAAAUUUAAUCUCACCUUGAUAUUUGGAUGGUACGAUUUGGAUCGUAAUCGAUGGUGAUGAGUUGGGUCUCAUGCUUGUAGGUGGGGG
Molecule: long non-coding RNA, 659 nt
Filed under: Amborella trichopoda
Lineage: Eukaryota; Viridiplantae; Streptophyta; Magnoliopsida; Amborellales; Amborellaceae
Description: long non-coding RNA (ATRI_LNC001410)
Source: RNAcentral